Molecule: RNA transcript, 2939 nt
Organism: Mandrillus leucophaeus (drill)
Lineage: Eukaryota; Metazoa; Chordata; Mammalia; Primates; Cercopithecidae
Gene name: heat shock protein HSP 90-alpha-like
Exons: 1
Source: RefSeq, a predicted model, not a curated record
GCUUUAGUAUCCUGGUGCUGCUGUGCUGUGGAGCCUGUGUGGUCUCUUAGCCAAGAUGCCUGAGGAAACCUAGACCCAAGACCAACCCAUGGAGGUGGAGGAGGUUGAGAUAUUCACCUUUCAGGCAGAAUUGCCCAGUUGAUGUCAUUGAUCAUCAAUACUUUCUACUCGAACAAAGAGAUCUUUCUGAGUGAGCUCAUUUCAAAUUCAUCAGAUGCAUUGGACAAAAUUCAGUAUGAAAGCUUGACGGAUCCCAGUAAAUUAGACUCUGGGAAAGAGCUGCAUAUUAACCUUAUACCAAACAAACAAGAUCGAACCCUCCCUAUUGUGGAUACUGGAAUUGGAAUGACCAAGGCUGACUUGAUCAAUAACCUUGGUAUUAUCGCCAAGUCUGGGACCAAAGCGUUCAUGGAAGCUUUGCAGGCUGGUGCAGAUGUCUCUAUGAUUGGUCAUUUCAGUGUCGGUUUUUAUUCUGCUUAUUUGGUUGCUGAGAAAGCAACUGUGAUCACCAAACAUAAUGAUGAUGAGCAGUACGCCUGGGAGUCUUCAGCAGGGGGAUCAUUCACAAUGAGGACAGACACAGGUGAACCUAUGGGUCGUGGAACAAAGGUUAUCCUACACCUGAAAGAAGACCAAACUGAGUACUUGGAGGAACGAAGAAUAAAGGAGAUUGUGAAGAAACAUUCUCAGUUUAUUGGAUAUUUCAUUACUCUUUUUGUAGAGAAGGAACAUGAUAAAGAAGUCAACGAUGAUGAGGCUGAAGAAAAGGAAGACAAAGAAGAAGAAGAAGAAAAAGAAGAGAAAGAGUCUGAAGACAAACCUGAAAUUGAAGAUGUUGGUUCUGAUGAGGAAGGAGAAGAAAAGAAGGAUAGUGACAACAAGAAGAAGAAGAUUAAGGAAAAGUACAUCAAUCAAGAAGAACUCAACAAAACAAAGUCCAUCUGGAACAGAAAUCCUGACGAUAUUACUAAUGAGGAGUACAGAGAAUUCUACAAGAGCUUGACCAAUGACUGGGAUGAUCACUUGGCAGUGAAGCAUUUUUCAGUUGAAGGACAAUUGGAAUUCAGAGCCCUUCUAUUUGUCCCACGACAUGCUCCUUUUGACCUGUUUGAAAACAGAAAGAAAAAGAACAACAUUAAAUGGUAUGUAUGCAGAGUUUUCACCAUGGAUAACUAUGAGGAGCUAAUCACUGAAUAUCUGAACUUCAUUAGAGGGGUGGUAGACUCAGAGGAUCUCCCUCUAAAUAUUUCCCAUGAGAUGUUACAACAAAGCAAAAUUUGGAAAUUAUCAGGAAGAAUUUGGUCAAAAAAUGCUUGGAACUCUUUACUGAACUGGCAGAAGAUAAAGAGAACUACAAGAAGUUCUAUGAGCAGUUCUCUAAAAAUAUGAAGCUUGGAAUACACGAAGACUCUCAAAAUCAGAAGAAGCUUUCAGAGCUGUUAAGGUACUACACAUCUGCCUCUGGUGAUGAGAUGGUUUCUCUCAAGGACUACUGUACCAGAAUGAAGGAAAACCAGAAACAUAUCUAUUACAUAACAGGUGAGACCAAGGACCAGGUAGCUAACUCAGCCUUUGUGGAACGUCUUCAGAAACAUGGCUACAUGGCUCAGAAGUGAUUUAUAUGAUUUAGCCCAUUGAUGAGUACUGUGUCCAACAGUUGAAGGAAUUUGAGGGGAAGACUUUAGUGUCAGUCACCAAAGAGGGCUUGGAACUUCCAGAGGAUGAAUAAGAGAAAAAGAAACAGGAAGAUAAAAAAACAAAGUUUGAGAACCUCUGCAAAAUCAUGAAAGACAUAUUGGAGAAAAAAGUUGAAAAGGUGGUUGUGUCAAACCGAUUGGUGACAUCCCCAUGCUGUAUUGUCACAAGCACUAUGGCUGGACAGCAAACGUGGAGAGAAUCAUGAAAGCUCAAGCCCUAAGAGACAACUCAACAAUGGGUUGCAUGGCAGCAAAGAAACACCUGGAGAUAAACCCUGACCAUUCCAUUAUUGAGACCUUAAGGCAAAAGGCAGAGGCUGAUGAGAACAAGUCUGUGAAGGAUCUGGUCAUCUUGCUUUAUGAAACUGCACUCCUGUCUUCUGGCUUCAAUCUGGAAGAUCCCCAGACGCAUGCUAACAGGAUCUAUAGGAUGAUCAAACUUGGUCUGGGUAUUGAAGAUGACCCUACUGCUGAUGAUACCAGUGCAGCUGUAACUGAAGAAAUGCCGCCCCUCAAAGGAGAUGACGACACAUCACACAUGGAAGAAAUAGACUAACCUCCGGCUGAGGGAUGACUUACCUGUUCAAUACUCUACAAUUCCUCUGAUAAUAUAUUUUCAAGGAUGUUUUUGUUUAUUUUUGUUAAUAUUAAAAAGUCUGUAUGGCAUGACAACAACUACUUUAAGGGGAAGAUAAGAUUUCUGUCUACUUCUAAGUGAUGCUGUGAUACCUUAUAUACUAAAGCAGAGCUAAUAAUGCUUUUUUAGUUUCACAUUGUUUUUAUUUUAACAGAUUGGGGUAAUGUAUGUUGUAAGAUGUAUGUAACAUGAUGUUAACUUUGUGGUCUAAAGUGUUUAGCUAUCAAGCCGGAUUCCUAAGUAGACCAAAUCUUGCUAUCAAAGUGUUCCUGAGCUAUACCUUGAUGUUUAGAAAAGUAUUUGUUACAUCUUGCAGGAUCCACUUUUUGAACUUUUCAUCCCCUGUAGUUGCCAAUUCUGCAUGUACUAGUCAUCUAGAAAUAGGUUAAACUGAAGCAACUUGAUGGAAGGAACUCUCCACAGGGCUUGUUUUCCAAAGAAAACUAUUGUUUGGAGGAGCAAAGUUAUGAGCCUCCCUAAGCAUAUCAUAAAACUGUUCGAAAAUAACUCAGACUCGGUCUUGUGGAUGGAAAUGUAGUGCUCGAGUCACAUUCUGCUUAAAGUUGUAACAAAUACUGAUGAGUUAAAAGAAAAAAAAAAAAAAA